This 472-nucleotide ribosomal RNA is filed under the name uncultured bacterium. RNAcentral describes it as "bacterial SSU rRNA". It matches the Rfam family "Bacterial small subunit ribosomal RNA", at positions 355 to 825 of the family's 1533-position model. The record is from RNAcentral.
UGGGGAAUUUUGGACAAUGGGCGAAAGCCUGAUCCAGCAAUGCCGCGUGCAGGAAGAAGGCCUUCGGGUUGUAAACUGCUUUUGUACGGAACGAAAAGGCUCUUUCUAAUAAAGAGGGCCCAUGACGGUACCGUAAGAAUAAGCACCGGCUAACUACGUGCCAGCAGCCGCGGUAAUACGUAGGGUGCGAGCGUUAAUCGGAAUUACUGGGCGUAAAGCGUGCGCAGGCGGUUCUAUAAGACAGAUGUGAAAUCCCCGGGCUCAACCUGGGAAUGGCAUUUGUGACUGUAGAGCUAGAGUACGGUAGAGGGGGAUGGAAUUCCGCGUGUAGCAGUGAAAUGCGUAGAUAUGCGGAGGAACACCGAUGGCGAAGGCAAUCCCCUGGACCUGUACUGACGCUCAUGCACGAAAGCGUGGGGAGCAAACAGGAUUAGAUACCCACGUAGUCCCUGAGCGGGCUGGCAAGGCGCAU